UUACAGGUUUCUAUUGUACAAUUUCUCAUUAAAAACUUCCUCAGCAUUUUUGGAGAAGACAUCACUUCCCCCUUGGGGAAGAAAGAACUCAAUGAUUUGUAGAAAUUGAUACUUCAGGUACCUUAAAAAAUUUAGCUGGUUUUGAUGAGAAACAGUCCGUGGGGUUGCCAGGGGUCCUGGCAGAUGCUUAGGCAGUGGCUGUCCUGGAGUCCAAGGCAUGCCCCAAACCCAUUGAUGCAGGACCCAGGACUCCAUCUGCUCAUUUUUCAUAAGGUUGGCUCACAGGUUAUCUGUUGAGAAGGUUAUCUGCUCCUUCUUCACUGUGCUCACUGAAUGAGGACAUUCCAAGAUCCCCGCUCAUCCUAUUUGAACUAUCCUUUUCCUAAUCUCAUCCAUCUAUGUUUGAGACAAUCUUCCCACAUGAUAGAUAUUCUAUCUUCUCAUUUCUUCCAUGUUGCAUUACUAUUUUAUUCAUAAUAAAUGCACAUAUUUUUGGUGUGU
This is a non-coding RNA of Saimiri boliviensis boliviensis (Bolivian squirrel monkey), 501 nucleotides long. NCBI's taxonomy places the organism in Eukaryota, Metazoa, Chordata, Mammalia, Primates, Cebidae. The record is from RefSeq and is a predicted model, not a curated record.